RNAcentral lists this ribosomal RNA (207 nucleotides) under uncultured bacterium. RNAcentral's name for it is "partial 16S ribosomal RNA". It matches the Rfam family "Bacterial small subunit ribosomal RNA", at positions 568 to 774 of the family's 1533-position model. The record is from RNAcentral.
AGCGCAGGCGGACCGGCAAGUUGGAAGUGAAAACUAUGGGCUCAACCCAUAAAUUGCUUUCAAAACUGCUGGCCUUGAGUAGUGCAGAGGUAGGUGGAAUUCCCGGUGUAGCGGUGGAAUGCGUAGAUAUCGGGAGGAACACCAGUGGCGAAGGCGACCUACUGGGCACCAACUGACGCUGAGGCUCGAAAGCGUGGGGAGCAAACA